CGGGCUCUUUCACAAGCAAUUCAAUCUUCUGGCCAGCACUUUGUGACGGUACUGCCCAAAGUACUCGAUUGCCUUUCUACAAAUUUUUUGUUAUUCCAAAGUCAUGAAUGCUAUGUCAGAACAGGUUAAUUUAUAGUUCAGAGGACAAUGGGAACCGCGGUGUCAGUCUGUUUGAAGAAGCAACUUGAAUCCUGACAAAUUUCAUAGUGGUUUGCCUGAGAACCAUAUACGCUAGAGUUCCACAUUGCUCAGAAAUCGAUCUAUAGAAGCAUGAUUCCCUAACUCCUAUUAGGCGCUGCCGAUAAUUAUGAUCCUUCUGUGUUUCCUGGUUUCAUUGGGAGUAUUUCUCCAUAUAUUGGGGCACUAUCUUCAGCGAAGGCUAUAUCGUCAUCUGACAAUGAUUUCAAUGGAGAUUUCCCAACUCAAGGUUUUUAACAAAGAUAUAGACAAAGACACAGUUGUCUUGCUUGCAGCCAGAGCAGCAAGACAGGAAAAUCAAGAUGCUAUUGAUGCAGCCAUCACUAACAUGCUUGCUGAUCCAAAGGGAAUAUGGG
Molecule: long non-coding RNA, 554 nt
Organism: Juglans regia (Persian walnut)
Lineage: Eukaryota; Viridiplantae; Streptophyta; Magnoliopsida; Fagales; Juglandaceae
Exons: 4
Source: RefSeq, a predicted model, not a curated record